This 28-nucleotide non-coding RNA is filed under the name Mus musculus (house mouse). The record is from RNAcentral. Lineage: Eukaryota; Metazoa; Chordata; Mammalia; Rodentia; Muridae.
UGAGUGUGUAACCUUGGUAAAUUCUGGA